Zea mays is the source of this 1923-nucleotide RNA transcript. RefSeq lists it as uncharacterized. Lineage: Eukaryota; Viridiplantae; Streptophyta; Magnoliopsida; Poales; Poaceae. The transcript is spliced from 3 exons. The record is from RefSeq and is marked validated.
UGAAAUACAAGUGCUUAUGUAUUCUAUUUUAGAAUACAAGUGAAUUGUUCACUUUCUUUUGAGCUGAACUGGUACAUUUUACUAUUUUAGAAUACUUUUGAGCUGAACUGGUUGGUGUAUGAAAGCCAAUAACAUCUAUGACUGUUUUUCUUAUUUUUAGUGGUCUAUAUAAAAGACUCACACCAAUUAUUAGCAGAAUAUUCAGCAUGCCCGGUUGUUGGGAAAACUAGCUGAAUCAGGCAGGGAGCGUUCCACUUCCAUUUCGUCUGUCCGGGCUGGAGGUCAUGUGGACCGUUGGAUCCUGUUUGGGCGGCCAGGGUUUGACGACCAAGUCUCUUUCUCUGCUCAUAUGGCCCCACCAGGAGCCUCAGCGUCAACGGCAACAGCACGAAGCAGACAAGCAGAUUCUCCCACUCCCUUCUCUUCUCCUGCUCCGUCGCCCGCCUUCGCUGCUCGGGAGUCGGGACCCACCUGACCAACCAUGGAAGCUGAUCCGCCGUUGCCGCCAGCGAGCGCACUGAUGGUGGAGCUCGUGGAGGAGGUCCUGCUGCGCUUCCCACCUGCGGACCCGGCAAGCCUCGUCCGGGCCGCGCUCGUCUGCAGACGCUGGCGCCGCAUCGUCACGGGCCCGCGGUUCCGCCGCCGCUACCGCGACCUCCACCUCCACCGCGGGCGCGGGGGUUCGCAUCCCCCGAUGCUGGGCUUCCUCGCCAACGCCGGCACGGGGACCCGCUUCGUGCCUACCUCCACCUUCCGCCCCGCAUCCGCGCGCGCGCGCGCGGCCGCGGAUGGCCUCCUCCUUCUCGGCGGCUGGCGCGCGCUCGACGCCCGCCACGGCCGCGCCCUCCUGCGCCGGGACACCGGCCGCGACGCGCCCGUCGACUGCGAGCUCGCCGUCUGGGACCCCGCCACAGGCCGCCGUACGGACCUGCCCCGCCUCCCCUGGUCGCCCUACCCCUACAGCUGGAACGCCGCCGUGCUCUGCGCCGCCACAAUCACCGCCUCCGCCUGUGACCACCUCGACUGCUGCGGCGGCGGCCACUUCCUCGUCGUCGUGGUGGGCACCAACCACGCGGAGAUGUUCGCCCAUGUCUACUCGUCGGAGGCGGGCGCGUGGAACGCGCCCGCGUCCGCUCGGCACCCAGACGACAACGUCGACUUCGCGCCCAGCGCGCUCGCCGGGAACGCGCUCUACUUCGCGUUCCAGACGGGCGCGGCGGCCCUGGAGUACGAUUUGGGCACGCGGGAGAUGGCGGUGGUGCGCCUGCCGCCGCCGCCACGCUUGGACUGGCAGCGCGCUGUGCUCGCCACCAGGGACGAUGGUCGUCUGGGACUCGCCACGGCAGGCAAGUCCACGAUCUACCUGUGGGCGAGGGAGGCGCCGCCUCGAGGAGAUGGGAGUUGGGUACAGACCAGAGCCAUCGAGCUUGACACGCUGCUCCCUGUCGGUGCCCUCUCGGCCUUUGUUGAUGUGGUUAGCUUUGUGGAUGGCGUCGGUGUCGUGUUUGUGCGGACGGGCGAUGGGCUAUUCACCAUUGAUCUGAUGUCUCGCCGGGUCACAAAGGUAUUCAAGGACACUUUCUUCUCCGGCAUUUUCCCCUACAUGAGCUUCCACACUCCAGCACUGGAAGUUGCCUCAACUGGUGAGGGGCCAAGUUCAGGUACUUAAGGUGCUUAUGUGCAGGUUUCUCAGUCAAGGGGAAACUUAGUUGCCUCUCGCGUUGUCUCCUCAGGAGCAAGAGAGAACUCCCAAAUGGAAAGUUUCCUUUUUGCAGUCCUGGGUGAGCUGAUAUCUCGAUCCAUAAAUGUUAGGCAAUAGAAUAUGCCAUCUGUGGAUAUCCUAGCUGCUAUAGAUAGCAGAUGUAAAUUAGGGAUGGAAUCCUAGCUGCUAUAGAUAGCAGAUGUAAAUCAGGGAUUAGUUGC